UUGAGUUAUGGAAGGAAAUUUGUAUGAAAUUUGAUUUCUAAACGCUAUUCAAAUGUGCUAUGGAGAUCUUCGACUUAUACAAGUUCCCUGUAUUUGUAAAAAAAAUAUUUAAUGUAUUUUAUUUAUCUGUCUUCCAUUUUGUGUUAAUUUUUUUUUAAUUGACUCGACGAACGUUUAACUACAACCGCUAUCUUGCGGUUUAGCGUACAAUUCACCCUAUACACGGAAGUACGACUGCAGAGAUCUCAGUCUUUAAAUGCUUCGUCCUUUCAUUUCGCGUCCAACAAAAUGUUUAGCCUUAUUGCAUGUACAUACAUACGUUCUAUGUAUGUCUAUUAAGUAGUAUGUUCAGUAAAAAGUUCAAAGGGAGAUAUACCUUGCCGACCUAUGUGAGCUCUUGGUAUUCGACUAAUCGACUAACCGAAUAGGGCAUUAUUCGAAUAAUAAUAUUCGGUUUGCAUAAUAAAAUUUGCGAAUAAUAAUAUUCGUCAGUCAUCGACUAUUCGAUUAACCGCUCAUUUUCGACUAUUCGGUUAACCGUUCGUUGUCGACUAUUCGAAUAGUGCAAGUUCAUUAAUUUUCUUAUUUUUAUUGAAAAAAGUGAAACAUUAAAACUAACAAAAAAACUCGCUAUUUUUUUAUGACAGUCAUACCAAAGGCUUUUAGACUGCAAACAAUUUUCAUUUAUUCGAAUAGUGUCAGAAUAACUAUUCGAAUAACCGCAGUAGAACGACUAUUCGAAUAGUCGGAACAUUGCGACUAACCGAAUAGUGCUAACCGGUUAAUAUCCGUAUGAACGGAUACAAACCGGAUAUUCGAAUAAUCGGUUUUCAGGUUAAUCGAAUAAUUUUAAGAGCCCUAGUACAUAUGUAUACUCUCUCAGUUACAUAUUUCUAACAUAUCUACUGAAUUAGGACAAAAGGACGUAAUGAAAAUACCAUCAUCAUAUUCGGCAAAUUUAAAAAAUUCUAAAAAAAAUUAUUGGCACUUCUAAACAAAUUAUACUAAAAUAGGAUGAAAAAAAUGCGCCCAUAAAGGUAUUGGGACAACUUUGUAUUCAACUAGUAUAGAAGGUCUAACUUCGGAUGUAACCAAAAAUUAUAAAUUUACUCUAGUAGUUAAUUACAUUGUACAUCACUCGGAUGGGCAUUACACCAAACUAAUUUUUGCCGGGUGAUUCAAUCAUAGGUAAACAACAUUUUUUCGAAAUCGAAAUAUUUGUGUAUAAUAUUUUUCGAUUAAGCCUAUAUAUUAUAUUAUGAAUAUAUAGUAGCGGACCCGACAGACGUUUUCCUGUAUGAUAUUUUAAGCUAUUAGGGUAUUAAACAAAGUAUAAAAUGAAAAACACAUAAUAAAAUAAAUGAAAUUAAUAUAUAAUUGAAUACAAGAUUUGGUACACUGAUAGUAGCACUAAUUUAGUAGUAGUAGUAGAAAAAAAACAUUUACCAAUCAAAAAUAAUUGUAAAUAUGUUUAGGCGGUUUCUAUACCAUAACAAUUAAUAAUGGUCGAAUUUUUCCGGAGAUAUGGGUUUUUACCCCAAGGUAGGCGGGUACGCCCACACCCCUUUUCCAAUCUUAAUACCAAUUUGAUAUUCUGUACUAUCUUUACUUUAAAAAGUAAUGCUUCUGACGGUUUUUGUUAGCAAGAUAAUGCACUUGUGGUAUUUUUCCAAUAUAGCCUUGUAUUGGGGGUGGGUGUGGUUUUUAUUCGAUUUUACACUUUUUUUUGGAAUGGUCCGACUUCGUCCACAUGCAAUAGCAAUCAUCCCUUAUUGCCAAGGAAUAUGUGUACCAAGUCUCCUCAAGUUAUCUUUAUACGUACAGAAU
Long non-coding RNA from Zeugodacus cucurbitae (melon fly), 1827 nucleotides. RefSeq lists it as uncharacterized. The record is from RefSeq and is a predicted model, not a curated record. The transcript is spliced from 2 exons. NCBI's taxonomy places the organism in Eukaryota, Metazoa, Arthropoda, Insecta, Diptera, Tephritidae.